Molecule: ribosomal RNA, 263 nt
Filed under: uncultured archaeon
Lineage: Archaea
Description: partial 16S ribosomal RNA
Rfam family: Archaeal small subunit ribosomal RNA
Source: RNAcentral
AGUCACUGACAUUAGAUACCCGGUAGUCCAGGGUGUAAACGCUGCAGACUUGGUGUUGGAAGCCCUUUGGGGGCAUUCAGUGCCGGAGAGAAGUUGUUAAGUCUGCUACUUGGGAGUACGUCCGCAAGGAUGAAACUUAAAGGAAUUGGCGGGGGAGCACCGCAACGGGAGGAGCGUGCGGUUUAAUUGGAUUCAACACCGUAAAACUCACCAGGGAAGACUGUUACAUGAAGGCCGAGAUGAAGACUCUGCUAGAUUUUCAG